UUGGUUAAGUUAGAAAGGGCGCACGGUGGAUGCCUUGGCACUAGGAGCCGAAGAAGGACGGGACUAACACCGAUAUGCUUUGGGGAGCUGUACGUAAGCGUUGAUCCAGAGAUUUCCGAAUGGGGGAACCCACUAUCUUUAGUCGGAUAGUAUCCUUACGUGAAUACAUAGCGUGAGGAAGGCAGACCCAGGGAACUGAAACAUCUAAGUACCUGGAGGAAGAGAAAGAAAAAUCGAUUUCCUGAGUAGCGGCGAGCGAAACGGAAAGAGCCCAAACCAAGAAGCUUGCUUCUUGGGGUUGUAGGACACUCUAUACGGAGUUACAAAAGAAAGUUAUAAAUGAAGCGGUCUGGAAAGGCCCGCCAAAGACGGUAACAGCCCGGUAGUUGAAAUGGCUUUCCCUCCAGAGUGGAUCCUGAGUACGGCGGAACACGUGAAAUUCCGUCGGAAUCCGGGAGGACCAUCUCCCAAGGCUAAAUACUCCCUAGUGACCGAUAGUGAACCAGUACCGUGAGGGAAAGGUGAAAAGCACCCCGGAAGGGGAGUGAAACAGUUCCUGAAACCGUGUGCCUACAAGUAGUUAGAGCCCGUUAAUGGGUGAUAGCGUGCCUUUUGUAGAAUGAACCGGCGAGUUACGAUUUGUUGCAAGGUUAAGCGGAAAAAGCGGAGCCGUAGCGAAAGCGAGUCUGAAUAGGGCGCAUAAGUAACAGGUCGUAGACCCGAAACCAGGUGAUCUACCCAUGUCCAGGAUGAAGGUAAGGUAAUACUUACUGGAGGUCCGAACCCACGCACGUUGAAAAGUGCGGGGAUGAGGUGUGGGUAGCGGAGAAAUUCCAAUCGAACUUGGAGAUAGCUGGUUCUCUCCGAAAUAGCUUUAGGGCUAGCCUCGAGGUAAAGAGUCA
This 902-nucleotide ribosomal RNA is filed under the name Listeria monocytogenes. RNAcentral describes it as "partial 23S ribosomal RNA". It matches the Rfam family "Bacterial large subunit ribosomal RNA", at positions 1 to 897 of the family's 2925-position model. Lineage: Bacteria; Bacillati; Bacillota; Bacilli; Caryophanales; Listeriaceae. The record is from RNAcentral.